CUCAGCAUACAGCUCAAUAACACGUGGCUAACCUACCCUUGGGACGGAAACAUCCCCGGGAAACUGGGGCUAAUUUCCGAUAGGUGAAGAACUCUGGAAUGGGUUUUCGCCGAAAAGGCGCUUAGGGCAUGCUUCUAGGUGUUGCCCAAGGAUGGGGCCGCGGCCGAUCAGGUUGUUGGUGAGGUAAUGGCUCACCAAGCCUUUAACCGGUACGGGCCGUGGGAGCGGUAGCCCGGAGAUGGGCACUGAGACAAGGGCCCAGGCCCUACGGGGCGCAGCAGUCGCGAAAACUUCGCAAUAAGCGAAAGCUUGACGGGGCCAUCCCGAGUGCCAUCUGCUGAGGAUGGCUUUUACCUAGUAUAGAUAGCUGGGGGAAUAAGGAGAGGGCAAGUCUGGUGUCAGCCGCCGCGGUAAUACCAGCUCUCCGAGUUGUGGGGAUGUUUAUUGGGCCUAAAGCAUCCGUAGCCGGCUGGACAAGUCCCCUGUUAAAUCCAGCGAUUAAUCGUUGGUCUGCGGGGGAUACUGUUCGGCUAGGGGGCGGGAGAGGCCGUCGGUAUUCCUGGGGUAGGGGUGAAAUCCUAUAAUCCCAGGAGGACCACCAGUGGCGAAGGCUGUCGGCUAGAACGCGCCCGACGGUGAGGGAUGAAAGCUGGGGGAGCGAACCGGAUUAGAUACCCGGGUAGUCCCAGCUGUAAACGAUGCAGGCUAGGUGUUAGGGCGGCUACGUGCCGCUCUAGUGCCGCAGGGAAGCUGUAAGCCUGCCGCCUGGGGAUACGNCCGGCAGGCUGAACUU
RNAcentral lists this ribosomal RNA (793 nucleotides) under uncultured soil archaeon. Its description in RNAcentral is "bacterial SSU rRNA". It matches the Rfam family "Archaeal small subunit ribosomal RNA", at positions 77 to 857 of the family's 1478-position model. The record is from RNAcentral.